GUUGUCCUAGCCCACUACUACUAAAACUUCCGCACCAAAUUCCAACAGUGGUAUCAAAGCCACAAAUUCUAACAAUGGUAUCAGAGCUUUCUUCGAUCAAAUUUGGGGCGUUGAUUUGUGUCUUCCACCAUGUCUACCUCCACCUCCAACCAAACAUCAAUUCCUCUUCCCAUCUUCAAGGGAGAAAACUAUGAUUUUUGGAGUAUCAAGAUGAGAACCUUCUUUAUGUCUCAAGAUCUAUGGGACAUAGUAGAGAAAGGAUUCUCGACUCCAGAAAAUCCGACGGUGGAGCAAUUGAGGCAAGAAAAGAAAGAAAAAUUAAGAUAUGCUAGUGCUCUCUUCGCCAUUCAACAAGUGGUGGACGAUACAAAUUUUUCAAGAAUCAUGGGAGCUACCACAUCAAAAGAAGCUUGGGAUCUACUAAAGGAGGAGUUUCAAGGGACGGCAAAGGUACGAUUUCCAUCCCGACUAAUUUAGGAACUAAAAAGAUUAAUGAUGUUCUAUUAGUUCCUAGCUUGGAUCAUAAUCUCCUAAGUGUCGGACAAAUGAUGGAAAAUGGUUAUGCUAUAUUAUUUCAUGGAGACUUCUGCAAAAUAUUUGACAAGAAAAGAAGGUUGAUAUUCAAAAUAAGGAUGAAAAAUAGAUAUUUCCCCAUCCAAUGGCAACAAAUGGCCAUGAAAGCAGAAGUCAAGAAGAAAAAUAUUUGUCUAGAGAAAAAGCAGCCAAGGACUCUACCACGUCAAGCAAAUAAAGAAGGGAGUUCAAAUCCUCCACAACCAAAAAUUUGUGAAGUUGCGAUGAAGAAGAAAGCCAGAAAAAGGCUAUGGAAGAAGAAAGCCAGAGGAAGGCCGUGGAAAAAGAAAGUAAGAGUGAGAACAUCUUCGCCAAGGUACUUCUAAAAUCGAGACUUAAAUUACUAUGAGAUUAGUCGGAGUACCAUCAAUGAGCAUUAAGGAGGAGUGUUAAAACAGUAAUGCUCAUUGGAGUGUUCUAAACUAUUCCCAAAUUAACUAGAUUAGUCUAGAAACAUCUUGUAAUUGAGAAGUUGUAGAAAAAUCUAGAAAGAAGUAGAUAUUUAUGAGCUAAAGUCGGUGGAGUGGAGAUAAUCAUGUGAAUGUCGGUGAACUAGCAAAAAUGUCGGCUAACCAUCUCUAUAUAUGUGUGUCCUCUUGUAAUUAUACGAAUUAAUGAACUAAGUACAAGCUAAAAGCUUCUCUCCUCUGUUUUACAUACAACCUCCUCUGUUUCUAACCCUUUAGCACCUCCCCUACUUCUAGUCCUAGCUCGCCUAGCUCCUAAACAUCUUUUCCUAAACACAUUGUCCUAGCCCACUACUACUAAAGCUUCCGCACCAAAUUCCAACAGUGGUAUCAAAGCCACAAAUUCUAACA
Molecule: long non-coding RNA, 1391 nt
Organism: Rosa chinensis
Lineage: Eukaryota; Viridiplantae; Streptophyta; Magnoliopsida; Rosales; Rosaceae
Exons: 2
Source: RefSeq, a predicted model, not a curated record